AUUAGGGUGCCUGAGGUUUAAAGGGUUAUUCUGAUAUUAUAAUUCACGUAUUAUUACCCCUAAUA
RNAcentral lists this transfer RNA (65 nucleotides) under Pseudotibiozus cerasopus. RNAcentral's name for it is "tRNA-Ile". Lineage: Eukaryota; Metazoa; Arthropoda; Diplopoda; Spirostreptida; Spirostreptidae. The record is from RNAcentral.